GUAGGCAGCGAGCGUUGUUCGGAAUUACUGGGCGUAAAGAGUGUGUAGGCGGUGCUCCCAGUCUGUUGUGAAAUCUCCCGGCUUAACUGGGAGGGUGCAGCGGAAACUAGAGUGCUAGAGGGUGGGAGAGGUAAGCGGAAUUCCUGGUGUAGCGGUGAAAUGCGUAGAUAUCAGGAGGAACACCUGUGGUGUAGACAGCUUACUGGACCACUUCUGACGCUGAGACACGAAAGCGUGGGUAGCAAACAGGAUUAGAUACCCUGGUAGUCCACGCCCUAAACGAUGCAUACUUGGUGUGAGCGAUUCAUUUCGUUCGUGCCGGAGCUAACGCGUUAAGUAUGCCGCCUGGGGAGUACGGUCGCAAGAUUA
Molecule: ribosomal RNA, 369 nt
Filed under: uncultured bacterium
Lineage: Bacteria
Description: bacterial SSU rRNA
Rfam family: Bacterial small subunit ribosomal RNA
Source: RNAcentral